UCGAGGAUCUUUAGCAAUGGGCGAAAGCCUGACUAUGCGACGCCGCGUGGACGAUGAAGGCCUUCGGGUCGUAAAGUCCCGUCAGAUGGGAUGAAUACCUGCAACCUAAUACGUUGCAGUGGUGACAGUACCAUCAGAGGAAGCCACGGCUAACUCCGUGCCAGCAGCCGCGGUAAUACGGAGGUGGCGAGCGUUAUUCGGAUUUACUGGGUGUAAAGGGUAUGUAGGUGGGCUUGUAAGUCAGGCGUGAAAUCCCUUGGCUCAACCAAGGAAUGGCGCUUGAAACUACUUGUCUUGAGUGCGGGAGAGGAGAACGGAAUUCCCGGUGUAAGGGUGAAAUCUGUAGAGAUCGGGAGGAACACCAGUGGCGAAGGCGGUUCUCUGGUCCGUUACUGACACUGAAAUACGAAAGCUUGGGGAGCAAACAGG
This 429-nucleotide ribosomal RNA is filed under the name uncultured bacterium. RNAcentral describes it as "bacterial SSU rRNA". It matches the Rfam family "Bacterial small subunit ribosomal RNA", at positions 355 to 776 of the family's 1533-position model. The record is from RNAcentral.